Molecule: small nucleolar RNA, 127 nt
Organism: Myotis lucifugus (little brown bat)
Lineage: Eukaryota; Metazoa; Chordata; Mammalia; Chiroptera; Vespertilionidae
Source: Ensembl
UUUAAAAAAAGAUAUUUUUAUUGAUUUCAGAAAGGGAAGGGAACCAGGUUUGCUAAAGUAAUUGUGGUGAUAGAAAUGUAUUAGCCUCAGAAGCUACUGAGGUGGUUCAUUCUAUCCUAGUACAGUG